This is a non-coding RNA of Electrophorus electricus (electric eel), 152 nucleotides long. The record is from RefSeq and is a predicted model, not a curated record. Lineage: Eukaryota; Metazoa; Chordata; Actinopteri; Gymnotiformes; Gymnotidae.
AAGGACGGUUACCUAUACUACCUUGUGUCUGAUGAGGGCAAUUCAAAACUACUGGAACUGAUGAGAAACCAUAUUGUUUCCUCUGCUCAGCUGAGUGUUAGCUACAUCAUCUCAAGUGCGCAGACUGUGUCCAUGGCUAAUCAAGUUCUAGC